Molecule: long non-coding RNA, 249 nt
Filed under: Homo sapiens (human)
Lineage: Eukaryota; Metazoa; Chordata; Mammalia; Primates; Hominidae
Description: non-protein coding lnc-ZSWIM2-14:1
Source: RNAcentral
AUAUCCAAAUAUCUGAGUAAGAGUGCAAAUAUUGCUAAAGGUGAAUUGGCUGUUUCUUUUAUGAUGGCAUCAUCUGCUAUGCCAUUCCCAAACCACUUCCUUGCUCUGCCCUAUUUGCAGGCAUGAAAUUCAAUUUAUACUACCACAACAACACUAAGCACCAAUCCCGACAUGUCUAGAGGCACCAAUUUGGGUCCUCUGUUUCCAGUCUGGCCGUAACCACAGUUGCAGUCCAAUUCCUGAACACUA